This 85-nucleotide transfer RNA is filed under the name Rhizobium ruizarguesonis. Its description in RNAcentral is "tRNA-Phe". The record is from RNAcentral. Lineage: Bacteria; Pseudomonadati; Pseudomonadota; Alphaproteobacteria; Hyphomicrobiales; Rhizobiaceae.
GCGGGGGGCGGAGUUGGUGGACCCAGCAGGCUGAAACUUCGCCGUCCUCACGGAUAUGUCGGUUCGUUUCCGACCGCCCGCACCA